GCAAGUCGAGCGCAUCCUUCGGGAUGAGCGGCGGACGGGUUAGUAACGCGUGGGAACGUGCCCUUCUCUAAGGAAUAGCCACUGGAAACGGUGAGUAAUACCUUAUACGCCCUUCGGGGGAAAGAUUUAUCGGAGAAGGAUCGGCCCGCGUUAGAUUAGAUAGUUGGUGAGGUAAUGGCUCACCAAGCCUACGAUCUAUAGCUGGUUUGAGAGGAUGAUC
RNAcentral lists this ribosomal RNA (220 nucleotides) under uncultured bacterium. RNAcentral describes it as "partial 16S ribosomal RNA". It matches the Rfam family "Bacterial small subunit ribosomal RNA", at positions 57 to 305 of the family's 1533-position model. The record is from RNAcentral.